RNAcentral lists this long non-coding RNA (502 nucleotides) under Bos taurus (domestic cattle). RNAcentral's name for it is "long non-coding RNA NONBTAT017469". Lineage: Eukaryota; Metazoa; Chordata; Mammalia; Artiodactyla; Bovidae. The record is from RNAcentral.
UGUAAUAUGAAGACAAACAAACAAGAAAAUGAUUGCAAUGGUCUCCCCUAAGGAAACAAUUUAAAGUUUAGAUAUUAUUACUAGAAGGGGGGGAAAAAAAGACUAUACUGCACUAUACUCACCAUCUCUACAGUGAUUCAUAAGAUAUUUAUAAGGACAGAAAACACCAUUACAAGUACACACUAUAUGAACACUUACCACAUUUUAAAAAUCUCAUAUAUGCAUGUUCAGGAUACAAGAAGAUAAUAGAGGCUACAGCUUCACCAAUCUCUGUAGACAUAUGAUCCGCUCUCAUUAGAGUGUGAUUAUGAGUACUGUGAAUUGGGAACUCUUCAAAUGGUAUCAGCUAAGUGUAGUCUUAAAAUCAAUAGCUCUAAUUGGCUCACUUGCUACUUACCUAACCUGCAUGUAUCAGAAACUUCUGUACCUGCAGUGACCUAAAAAGUGCAGUGAGUAUUAUGGUUGCUUUCUCUUCAACUCUCUACUUCUUUGAUUCAAUGGC